UGGGGAAUUUUGGACAAUGGGGGAAACCCUGAUCCAGCCAUCCCGCGUGUGCGAUGAAGGCCUUCGGGUUGUAAAGCACUUUUGCAGGAAAGAAACGUCGCGGGUUAAUACCCCGCGAAACUGACGGUACCUGCAGAAUAAGCACCGGCUAACUACGUGCCAGCAGCCGCGGUAAUACGUAGGGUGCAAGCGUUAAUCGGAAUUACUGGGCGUAAAGCGUGCGCAGGCGGUUCGGGAAAGAAAGAUGUGAAAUCCCAGNGCUUAACUUUGGAAACUGCAUUUUUUAACUACCGGGCUAGAGUGUGUCAGAGGGAGGUGGAAUUCCGCGUGUAGCAGUGAAAUGCGUAGAUAUGCGGAGGAACACCGAUGGCGAAGGCAGCCUCCUGGGAUAACACUGACGCUCAUGCACGAAAGCGUGGGGAGCAAACAGGAUU
RNAcentral lists this ribosomal RNA (434 nucleotides) under uncultured bacterium. RNAcentral describes it as "partial 16S ribosomal RNA". It matches the Rfam family "Bacterial small subunit ribosomal RNA", at positions 355 to 779 of the family's 1533-position model. The record is from RNAcentral.